GAUGAACGCUGGCGGCGUGCCUAAUACAUGCAAGUCGAGCGAACAGAUGAGGAGCUUGCUCCUCUGACGUUAGCGGCGGACGGGUGAGUAACACGUGGAUAACCUACCUAUAAGACUGGGAUAACUUCGGGAAACCGGAGCUAAUACCGGAUAAUAUAUUGAACCGCAUGGUUCAAUAGUGAAAGACGGUUUUGCUGUCACUUAUAGAUGGAUCCGCGCCGCAUUAGCUAGUUGGUAAGGUAACGGCUUACCAAGGCGACGAUGCGUAGCCGACCUGAGAGGGUGGUCGGCCACACGGGAACUGAGACACGGUCCAGACUCCUACGGGAGGAAGCAGUAGGGAAUCUUCCGCAAUGGGCGAAAGCCUGACGGAGCAACGCCGCGUGAGUGAUGAAGGUCUUCGGAUCGUAAAACUCUGUUAUUAGGGAAGAACAAAUGUGUAAGUAACUAUGCACGUCUUGACGGUACCUAAUCAGAAAGCCACGGCUAACUACGUG
Molecule: ribosomal RNA, 497 nt
Filed under: uncultured bacterium
Lineage: Bacteria
Description: partial 16S ribosomal RNA
Rfam family: Bacterial small subunit ribosomal RNA
Source: RNAcentral